UACAGAGGGUGCGAGCGUUGUUCGGAGUUACUGGGCGUAAAGCGUGCGUAAGCGGUUUUGUAAGUUUGGUGUGAAAUCUCCCGGCUUAACUGGGAGGGUGCGCCGAAAACUGCAAGGCUGGAGUGUGGGAGAGGUAGGCGGAAUUCCUGGUGUAGCGGUGAAAUGCGUAGAUAUCAGGAGGAACACCUGUGGUGUAGACGGCUUACUGGACCAUGACUGACGCUGAGGCACGAAAGCGUGGGGAGCAAACAGG
RNAcentral lists this ribosomal RNA (253 nucleotides) under uncultured bacterium. Its description in RNAcentral is "partial 16S ribosomal RNA". It matches the Rfam family "Bacterial small subunit ribosomal RNA", at positions 524 to 776 of the family's 1533-position model. The record is from RNAcentral.